GACGAACGCUGGCGGCGUGCUUAACACAUGCAAGUCGAACGGAAAGGCCCUGCUUUUGUGGGGUGCUCGAGUGGCGAACGGGUGAGUAACACGUGAGUACCUGCCCUUGACUUUGGGAUAACUUCAGGAAACUGGGGCUAAUACCGGAUAGGGGCUCCUGCUGCAUGGUGGGGGUUGGAAAGUUUCGGCGGUUGGGGAUGGACUCGCGGCUUAUCAGCUUGUUGGUGGGGUAGUGGCUUACCAAGGCUUUGACGGGUAGCCGGCCUGAGAGGGUGACCGGCCACAUUGGGACUGAGAUACGGCCCAGACUCCUACGGGAGGCAGCAGUGGGGAAUAUUGCACAAUGGGCGGAAGCCUGAUGCAGCAACGCCGCGUGCGGGAUGACGGCCUUCGGGUUGUAAACCGCUUUCGCCUGUGACGAAGCGUGAGUGACGGUAAUGGGUAAAGAAGCACCGGCUAACUACGUG
Molecule: ribosomal RNA, 467 nt
Filed under: uncultured bacterium
Lineage: Bacteria
Description: partial 16S ribosomal RNA
Rfam family: Bacterial small subunit ribosomal RNA
Source: RNAcentral